GUAUCGCCCAGUCUCUGACGAACCGCAACAGGCAGAGCAAUCAACCUUUUGGCUAAAAAGCUCGCUAUCUCUAUCUCUCACUUAUUCUGACAGUUAUAUACUAAAUACUCUUAAGCUACUUUAUUAUUUUGUGAUACAUCUGGAUUUAAAAAUGGCGGGCCAAACGUCGAGUAGGCGAAGGAGUUCAGUCAUUCCGGCACCAGCCCACGAAACGCAGAACAUUUUGAUGACUUAUUUUAUUUUGAUAGUGCUACUGAUAUCGUUGUAUAUAUUGUACUCUAUGUUUUAAAUAUCAUUGAUUCUCGACGCGGGGAAAAAAUCUUCGUAUCACGAUUUUUUUCAUCUUUUUAUAAAAUGUUCUCGAAAGUAUUUGUUUUCAAUUCAAUCUAAUUUUGAAGUGCAAGCGCAAUGAAUGAGUUUAUCAACCAGUUACGGUACAUUAUCAAAAUCAAAAAAUUAAUAAUGAACAUUUUUUAAACAACAUUUUCUCUGAACAUGCUUAAAAACUUUCAACUUACUCAUAUCAACCAUUAAAAAAAUUAUCGUUUUAUUUUACUCGAUUGAAUACGAUUUAAAAAUGUAUCAUCAUUUGAAAAACUUUGUAUCAAAAUACAAAAAGGUAUCGAUUUAUAACUAUAUUUUCAUAUUCAAACUAUUUUUGUUCUACCUUUCACGUCAAUAUGUUUAAUACAAUCUUUCAAAGAUUUUCCCCUGUCAUUAUAUUUUUUAAAUGUAGGUCAAGGACAUGUAAAUAAUGAAAUAAUGUCUGCAUGAAGUAAAGAGUAUAAAAAACGAAGAAUGAAACCACGAGUGUGGGUGAUUGGUCAAAAAUAGAUGAUAUUUUCACAUUACCGAAAAAUAACUCUGCGUGCGGAUAAAGAGAGAAAGAGAGGAAGAGAAAAUAUCCAGAUCCAUAUAAUCACACGUCUAAAGUCAUGUACAGAAAUAAAUACUCUGUUGAAUAAAUGUUUACUAUGAGUUUAAAAAACCUA
Long non-coding RNA from Trichogramma pretiosum, 992 nucleotides. RefSeq lists it as uncharacterized. The record is from RefSeq and is a predicted model, not a curated record. The transcript has 3 exons. NCBI's taxonomy places the organism in Eukaryota, Metazoa, Arthropoda, Insecta, Hymenoptera, Trichogrammatidae.